This 253-nucleotide ribosomal RNA is filed under the name uncultured bacterium. Its description in RNAcentral is "partial 16S ribosomal RNA". It matches the Rfam family "Bacterial small subunit ribosomal RNA", at positions 524 to 776 of the family's 1533-position model. The record is from RNAcentral.
UACGUAGGCAGCGAGCGUUGUUCGGAGUUACUGGGCGUAAAGCGUGCGUAGGCGGUGUCUUAAGUUUGUUGUGAAAUCUCCCGGCUUAACCGGGAGGGUGCGGCGAAUACUGAGAUGCUGGAGUGCCGGAGAGGUAAGCGGAAUUCCUGGUGUAGCGGUGAAAUGCGUAGAUAUCAGGAGGAACACCUGCGGUGUAGACGGCUUACUGGACGGUAACUGACGCUGAGGCGCGAAAGCGUGGGUAGCAAACAGG